This 274-nucleotide ribosomal RNA is filed under the name uncultured bacterium. RNAcentral's name for it is "partial 16S ribosomal RNA". It matches the Rfam family "Bacterial small subunit ribosomal RNA", at positions 523 to 796 of the family's 1533-position model. The record is from RNAcentral.
AUACGAAGGUCCCAAGCGUUAUUCGGAAUCACUGGGCGUAAAGAGUACGUAGGCGGUUUGGUAAGUCAGGUGUGAAAUCCCGAAGCUCAACUUCGGAACUGCAUCCGAUACUGCCAGACUUGAGUAAUCGAGAGGCAGGUGGAAUUCUCGGUGUAGCAGUGAAAUGCGUGGAUAUCGAGAGGAAGACCAAUGGCGAAGGCAGCCUGCUGGACAUUUACUGACGCUGAGGUACGAAGGCUAGGGGAGCGAAAGGGAUUAGAAACCCCAGUAGUCC